Molecule: ribosomal RNA, 253 nt
Filed under: uncultured bacterium
Lineage: Bacteria
Description: partial 16S ribosomal RNA
Rfam family: Bacterial small subunit ribosomal RNA
Source: RNAcentral
UACGUAGGGUGCAAGCGUUGUCCGGAAUUAUUGGGCGUAAAGAGCUCGUAGGCGGUCUGUCGCGUCGGCUGUGAAAACUCGGGGCUCAACUCCGAGCUUGCAGUCGAUACGGGCAGGCUAGAGGUCGGCAGGGGAGACUGGAAUUCCUGGUGUAGCGGUGAAAUGCGCAGAUAUCAGGAGGAACACCGGUGGCGAAGGCGGGUCUCUGGGCCGAUACUGACGCUGAGGAGCGAAAGCGUGGGGAGCGAACAGG